This 189-nucleotide ribosomal RNA is filed under the name uncultured bacterium. Its description in RNAcentral is "partial 16S ribosomal RNA". It matches the Rfam family "Bacterial small subunit ribosomal RNA", at positions 1309 to 1500 of the family's 1533-position model. The record is from RNAcentral.
AACUCGCCUGCAUGAAGGCGGAAUUGCUAGUAAUCGCGGAUCAGCAUGCCGCGGUGAAUACGUUCCCGGGCCUUGUACACACCGCCCGUCACACCAUGAGAGUUGGCAACACCCGAAGUCAGCAGGCAAACAGUGAAGCCGCUGCCGAAGGUGGGGUUGAUGAUUGGGGUGAAGUCGUAACAAGGUACC